GGAGUCUGGUCCGUGUCUCAGUACCAGUGUGGGGGACCUUCCUCUCAGAACCCCUACUGAUCGUAGGCCAGGUGGGCCGUUACCCCGCCUGCAACCUAAUCAGACGCAUCCCCAUCCCAUAGCGAUAAACCUUUAGUGCUCCUCAGAUGUCCUCAAUGCACAACAUAGGGUGUUAAUCCGCAUUUCUACGGGCUAUGCCCUACCAGGGGGAAGGUUGGAUACGCGUUACUCACCCGUGCGCCGGUCGCCAUCAGGAAUUGCAAGCAACUCCCAUGCUGCCCCUCGACUUGCAUGUGUUAAGCCUGUAGCUAGCGUUCAUCCUGAGCCAGGAUCAAAACUCU
RNAcentral lists this ribosomal RNA (341 nucleotides) under uncultured Prevotella sp. Its description in RNAcentral is "partial 16S ribosomal RNA". The record is from RNAcentral. Lineage: Bacteria; Pseudomonadati; Bacteroidota; Bacteroidia; Bacteroidales; Prevotellaceae.